Syngnathus acus (greater pipefish) is the source of this 116-nucleotide long non-coding RNA. RefSeq lists it as uncharacterized. The record is from RefSeq and is a predicted model, not a curated record. The transcript has 3 exons. NCBI's taxonomy places the organism in Eukaryota, Metazoa, Chordata, Actinopteri, Syngnathiformes, Syngnathidae.
AUGUCCCAAGCUCGAAAUUGUUAGGAUACGGAUUUUAGCUAUUGAUCUGACUCCAAAUUAUGAUCAACACUUAACACAAGAGUUGUUACGUCCAAAUCUACACACUGUCGCACCUA